Stegodyphus dumicola is the source of this 73-nucleotide non-coding RNA. The record is from the annotation of a RefSeq genome assembly. NCBI's taxonomy places the organism in Eukaryota, Metazoa, Arthropoda, Arachnida, Araneae, Eresidae.
GCCUUCAUGGUGUAAUGGUCAGCACGCUCGAUGCGUAUUCGAGAGAUCCAAGGUUCGAGUCCUGGUGAAGGCA